UACGGAGGGUGCGAGCGUUGUCCGGAAUCACUGGGCGUAAAGGGCGCGUAGGCGGCGCGGAUAGUCGGCGGUGAAAGCCCGGAGCUCAACUCCGGGUCGGCCGUCGAUACUUCCGGGCUUGAGCACUGUAGAGGCAGAUGGAAUUCCGGGUGUAGCGGUGGAAUGCGUAGAGAUCCGGAGGAACACCGGUGGCGAAGGCGGCAUCCUGGACCAACACUGACGCUGAGGAGCGAAAGCCAGGGGAGCAAACGGG
Molecule: ribosomal RNA, 253 nt
Filed under: uncultured bacterium
Lineage: Bacteria
Description: partial 16S ribosomal RNA
Rfam family: Bacterial small subunit ribosomal RNA
Source: RNAcentral